RNAcentral lists this ribosomal RNA (1479 nucleotides) under human gut metagenome. Its description in RNAcentral is "bacterial LSU rRNA". It matches the Rfam family "Bacterial large subunit ribosomal RNA", at positions 1451 to 2925 of the family's 2925-position model. The record is from RNAcentral.
CAAGACUGAUGGAGUGACAAAGAAGGCUAAGCAAAGCCAAUUAUUGGAUUUUGGUCUAAGCACAAAGGCGUGUUGAGUAAGCAAAUCUAUCAACUGUAACGCUGAAGUGUGAUGGGGAAAAAGUUCUACGGAACUUCAACUUUGCUGAAGCCAUGCUUUCAAGAAAAACUUCUAGGGCUAAUCUUGUAGGUGCCUGUACUCAGAACCGACACUGGUAGUCAAGGAGAGAAUCCUAAGGUGAGCGAGAUAACUAUGGUUAAGGAACUCGGCAAAAUGACCCCGUAACUUCGGAAUAAGGGGAGGUGUAGCGAUACACCCUCAGGAAAUAGGUCCAGGCAACUGUUUACCAAAAACACAGGUCUCUGCUAAAGCGUAAGCUGAUGUAUAGGGGCUGACGCCUGCCCAGUGCUGGAAGGUUAAGAGGAGAUGUUAGUUGGACGCAAGUCGAUAACAACGAAGCUUCGAAUUGAAGCCCCAGUGAACGGCGGCCGUAACUAUAACGGUCCUAAGGGAGCGAAAUUCCUUGUCAGGUAAGUUCUGACCCGCACGAAAGGCGUAAUGAUCUGGAUACUGUCUCAACCAUAGACUCGGUGAAAUCUUAAUACCUGUGAAAAUGCAGGUUACCCGCUACAGGACAAAAAGACCCCGUGGAGCUUUACUGCAACUUGAUAUUGGAAUCAGAUGUAUCAUGUAGAGGAUAGGUGGGAGACUUUGAAGUUAGGACGUCAGUUCUAAUGGAGUCAUCCUUGGAAUACCACCCUUGAUAUGUUUGAUUUCUAACUUGCGCCCAUUAUCUGGGUGGAGGACAGUGUCUGGUGGGCAGUUUGACUGGGGCGGUCGCCUCCCAAAGAGUAACGGAGGCGCCCAAAGGUUCCCUCAGAAUGGUUGGAAAUCAUUCGUAGAGUGUAAUGGCAGAAGGGAGCUUAACUGCGAGACCUACAAGUCAAGCAGAUGCGAAAGCAGGGCAUAGUGAUCUUGCGAUCCCGAAUGGAAGGGUCGUUGCUUAACGGAUAAAAGUUACCCCGGGGAUAACAGGCUGAUCCCACCCAAUAGUUCAUAUAGACGGUGGGGUUUGGCACCUCGAUGUCGGCUCGUCGUAUCCUGGAGGUGGAAUCGCUUCCAAGGGUUGGGCUGUUCGCCCAUUAAAACGGCACGCGAGCUGGGUUCAGAACGUCGUGAGACAGUUCGGUCUCUAUCCGUAGUGGGCGUUAGAAAAUUGAGGAGUGCUUUUCCUAGUACGAGAGGACCGGAAAGGACGAACCGAUGGUGUAUCUGUUGUCACGCCAGUGGCAGUGCAGAGUAGCUAUGUUCGGAAGGGAUAAUCGCUGAAGGCAUCUAAGCGAGAAGCCCUCUCCAAGAUGAGUUUUCUUUAUCUUCAAGAUAUAAGAUCCCUUGUAGACGACAAGGUUGAUAGGUUAGAUGUGUAAGCAUAGUGAUAUGUUGAGCUGACUAAUACUAAUAGAUCGACAAUUUAAUCAU